ACCACCUAGAAGCAGAAGCUCAUCUGUAAAUGUAAGCCAUCCAGGUGGAAUUCAGGGUAAAGUGUCAGAGUGGGGGGGAGGGCGAUCCCUCACCUUUCCAGUAGACCUCACACCCUUCCAGACGCAGAAAUAACAGAUGAUCCAGCAGACCAGGAGACACAGAGAUAGGUCCCACCGCACAGUGCCCAUCUCUCCUAUCCCUGAAGACAACCCUAGCACCCUCCUCCUGAUGGAGCAUUGGAUAGCUUUAUAUGAAUUUCUUAAAGUAUCAUUCUGAGCUUUACAAUGGCACAUGAAACGCUUAACACUCUGAUUUAUUCCCAUCAUGCUCUGGGGUUCUGUCUGAAUACUUACUCCCAGAAUUCCACCACGGGGGAGGUGGCUUUGUCCAGCAUCUGGUCAGUGAUAUUGUGGCUCAGUGGAACACAGGAUUCUGAAACAUUUUGGAGACAGAGUUGUGGUCAAUGGUUCUGUUCUAAGACAAACUGCGUGGUGUUCUUAAGAUCUGCAAAUACAGUCAAGCCCGAUGAGAGCCUCUUCACCUGUGUUCCAGUAGUUAUGACAUGUGGCCCAGGGGAGCUCAGAGCUGAAGGAGAAGACAAGGUAUAGCAAGGCCCAGGCCAGGAUGACGAUGUAGUAAAUACUGGUGUACAACACAACAACCUGACCUGCGUAUCCCACUCCUGAGAAGCAAGACAGAAAAGAGAGGGCAGAUCUUUCUCCAGCAGGUGAUGCCCCCUUGGCUGGUGUACUGGCCCAGGGCGGUCUCCAGCAGGAAGAGGGGGAUGCCACAGGUGAACAGGAACAGAACGUAUGGGAUGAAGAAUGCCCCUGGGGAGAAAAGCAUGAACAUCCAGAAUCCAGCUGCAUAUGGAGGCGCUGAUUCCCACUUUCUGAAUGACUAUAAUCCAUAAACGGGAGCCGGACAUUCAGGAAUCAUUUAAAGAACUUCCUGGGAAUGAGGGAUAUACUCCAUCUUGCUGCCCCACUGGCCUCUUUCUUGGGAUCCGGUUACCGGGGCAUGUGUGCCGCUGUUCUGGCCAGCCAUCGGCAGCUGCACCUCUGGUUGGUGGUACUCCUCCAUGGCCUUCGAGGAACAGAACAGGGGAACACGAUAGCAGUGGUGGAUGCAGGCUGUUUGAAGGGCCAGGCUGUUUGACGACGUACACCACCUCUGUCAGAUUUAAGAUGUAACAGAUGUGACUGGGCAAUGUGGUGGGUCAAUGGUUAGUGGUUCCAGGUCGGAGCAGGAACCAGGGUCCAUGGACCAGGACUGAGGGCCAGACCAGAGGGGUCCCAUUCCAGGUCCUCUAAUGGAUCCUCCUCUGGGUUCACCCUCACUGAGCAAGUGGCAACCAAGUCCGAGUCUAAUCUCAAGUCUCCAACGUGGUUCCCGUUUGACAUUACUAUUUAUCAAAAAUGUAACUGUCUACUUGUUUUUUUUCUAUUUGUAA
Molecule: long non-coding RNA, 1454 nt
Organism: Brienomyrus brachyistius
Lineage: Eukaryota; Metazoa; Chordata; Actinopteri; Osteoglossiformes; Mormyridae
Exons: 6
Source: RefSeq, a predicted model, not a curated record